Molecule: ribosomal RNA, 253 nt
Filed under: uncultured bacterium
Lineage: Bacteria
Description: partial 16S ribosomal RNA
Rfam family: Bacterial small subunit ribosomal RNA
Source: RNAcentral
UACGUAGGGUGCGAGCGUUAAUCGGAAUUACUGGGCGUAAAGCGUGCGCAGGCGGAUUGUUAAGCAAGAUGUGAAAUCCCCGGGCUUAACCUGGGACUGGCAUUUUGAACUGGCAGUCUAGAGUGUGUCAGAGGGGGGUGGAAUUCCACGUGUAGCAGUGAAAUGCGUAGAUAUGUGGAGGAUCUCCAAUGGCGAAGGCAGCCCCCUGGGUUACCUCUGUCGCUCAUGUACGAAAGCGUGGGUAGCAUUCAGG